CCUACCUUUAACUCUGGGAUAGCCCGAAGAAAUUCGGAUUAAUACCCGGAUAAUAUCAAGAUAUGACAUCACAGCUUGAUUAAAGGCGCGAGUUGGUUAAAGAUGGGCAUGCGUCCCAUUAGUUAGUUGGGGAGGUAACGGCUCACCAAGGCGAUGAUGGGUAGGGGCUCUGAGAGGAUUACCCCCCACAUUGGUACUGAGACAGGGACCAAACUCCUACGGGAGGCAGCAGUGAGGAAUAUUGGGCAAUGGACGGAAGUCUGACCCAGCCAUGCCGCGUGCAGGAAGACGGCCUUAUGGGUUGUAAACUGCUUUUAUGUAGGGAAAAAGUUCAUAUUGCGAUAUGAUUUGAUGGUACUACAGGAAUAAGAAUCGGCUAACUCCGUGCCAGCAGCCGCGGUAAUACGGAGGAUUCGAGCGUUAUCCGGAUUUAUUGGGUUUAAAGGGUGCGCAGGCGGACUAUUAAGUCAGUGGUGAAAGGUAUCGGCUUAACCGAUGAAGUGCCAUUGAUACUGUAAAGCUUGAGUGUAGAUGACGUAGGCGGAAUGUAGCAUGUAGCGGUGAAAUGCAUAAAGAUGCUACAGAACACCGAUAGCGAAGGCAGCUUACGAAGGUACAACUGACGCUCAUGCACGAAAGCGUGGGGAUCAAACAGGAUUAGAUACCCUGGUAGUCCACGCCAGUAACGAUGAUAACU
This 697-nucleotide ribosomal RNA is filed under the name uncultured bacterium. Its description in RNAcentral is "bacterial SSU rRNA". It matches the Rfam family "Bacterial small subunit ribosomal RNA", at positions 125 to 817 of the family's 1533-position model. The record is from RNAcentral.